AUGAACGCUGGCGGCGUGCCUAAUCCAUGCAAGUCGAGCGAACAGACGAGGAGCUUACUCCUCUGACGUUAGCGGCGGACGGGUGAGUAACACGUGGAUAACCUACCUAUAAGACUGGGAUAACUUCGGGAAACCGGAGCUAAUACCGGAUAACAUGUUGAACCGCAUGGUUCAACAGUGAAAGACGGUCUUGCUGUCACUUAUAGAUGGAUCCGCGUCGCAUUAGCUAGUUGGUAAGGUAACGGCUUACCAAGGCAACGAUGCGUAGCCGACCUGAGAGGGUGAUCGGCCACACUGGAACUGAGACACGGUCCAGACUCCUACGGGAGGCAGCAGUAGGGAAUCUUCCGCAAUGGGCGAAAGCCUGACGGAGCAACGCCGCGUGAGUGAAGAAGGUCUUCGGAUCGUAAAACUCUGUUAUUAGGGAAGAACAAAUGUGUAAGUAACUAUGCACGUCUUGACGGUACCUAAUCAGAAAGCCACGGCUAACUACGUG
RNAcentral lists this ribosomal RNA (496 nucleotides) under uncultured bacterium. Its description in RNAcentral is "partial 16S ribosomal RNA". It matches the Rfam family "Bacterial small subunit ribosomal RNA", at positions 29 to 507 of the family's 1533-position model. The record is from RNAcentral.